CCAUCUUCCUCGUACAGUUCACUGCCCUCCGCCAUCGCCGCCCGCCGGCGACGGAACUUUAACCGCCUCCACAAUUACACCAAAUAUUCUCCUCCACCUCCUUAUCUCGAAUCCAUGCUUGGUUUCCUUCGAACCUUAGCAAAAAGCCUCAAAUAUAGCAAACCCUAGGCGCCGCCGCCACCUCCCACGACGGCGCCGCCGCCCAAACUAGUCCAAAGUUAUACAACCAAACCUCCUCCACCGUCUCAUCAACAAUCCAUAAAGAAUCUUCCUUAAAUCAGUAUGGGACGUCUCGAAUCUUCAAUUAAAAAUGGCAGUCAAGUCCCUAGUUCCUCGUUGAUCCCAAAUUAACUAACUAUGUUCGCCUCGCCUCUCUCAUAUGGAAUCUGAUGUCAACAGCAUCCAAAUAUCAUUAGACUCAUUCAAAUUUCAAACCAAAGGGCAGUCAAGUUUUGAGCCAUGCCAGCGAGUUUCAAUUUUCUUCUUUUUUUUCAUUUUGUUU
This 502-nucleotide long non-coding RNA is filed under the name Nicotiana benthamiana. Its description in RNAcentral is "long non-coding RNA (NBEN_LNC042644)". The record is from RNAcentral. Lineage: Eukaryota; Viridiplantae; Streptophyta; Magnoliopsida; Solanales; Solanaceae.